GGGGGGGGGGGGGGGGGGGGGGGGGGGGGGGGGGGGGGGGGGGGGGGGCCGGCGGGGGUGGGGGGCGCGGGGGGCGAGCGGGUGAGGAACACGGGAGGAACCGGCCCUGGACUUUGGGAUACCUUCAGGAAACUGGGGCUAAUACCGGAUAGGAGCUCCGGCUGCCUUGGGGGGGGCGGAGAGUUUCGGCGGUUUGGGAUGGACUCGCGGCUGAUCAGCUCGUUGGUGGGGGAGUGGCUGACCAACGCUUUGACGGGUAGCCGGCCUGAGAGGGUGACGGGCCACAUGGGGACUGAGAGACGGCCCAGACUCAGACGGGAGGCAGCAGUGGGGAAUAUUGCACAAGGGGCGGAAGCCUGAUGCAGAAACGCCGGGUGCGGGAGGACGGCCUUCGGGUUGUAAACCGCUUUCGCCUGUGACGAAGCGUGAGUGACGGUAAUGGGUAAAGAAGCACCGGCUAACUACGU
Molecule: ribosomal RNA, 467 nt
Filed under: uncultured bacterium
Lineage: Bacteria
Description: partial 16S ribosomal RNA
Rfam family: Bacterial small subunit ribosomal RNA (bases 48-467)
Source: RNAcentral